GCCGUUUCCUGAAACGCCUCCAGUGUCCCCAGCAGCGCAGCUCAGCGCGUUGCGCCCGUGUAAAAGAGCGCAUUAAACAUGACGGCCAGCACCGAUGUGGGACCCAUAUAAGAAACCUGUGCGGAACUGAUAACAGACGGAUAUGCAGACUGAGACAAUGGAGGAGAAGAAGGAAGACUUCAAAGCCCUGAGAGCAAGGUUUCAUGCCCAAAUGGAAUUAAAUGACUCUGGAGGUCCCAAGCAGGCACUCCAACCUCCAAUUGCUGCAAGACAAGGACCUUCUUUUGGCUCAAGCUCACCUGGAAAUGGGGCCUUCAGGGGCAGCCCCAGAGGCCCUGCAGUGACACUUAACAUGGGUCCACCUCCUCCAGGACCCAAAAUGCAAGGAACCCCUAGGAACUUUAAAAAUCCCCCACGUUUCCCUCGACAAGAAGCAAUAGAUUCCAGCAGUCCAAGUAAUGACAAACCUCCACUGGGGAUCUUAAUUCCCAAACCUCUUACACCCAUUCGCUCUGCCUCUAGUGACGAUAAAGCGCCGGGAGAUUUGCCAGAGGCAGAGUCAUCCGUUAAGCAGAGGGCCAAUGAUCUUCGGCAAAAUCUCAUGCUGAGGCAGCAGUUGAACAAAGGCUCACAAGAAGGCAUCAGAGAGGCCCCCAAGGCGGUGGUCCUCACACCACCACCUCGCAGCCAGAAGAGCGUGACAGAAUCACCUGCACCACUGAGAAAGCCUCUGCCAUUGGAAAAAAAUCUGGGACCAAGGCCUUUUAAGCCGAAGAGACCUCCUCUUGUCUGCCUGGACAAUUUCAAAAAAAAGAAAAUCCCUCCAAUACCUGAACGCCCAACACCUGGAAAAAUUAAUGUAUCUCAUAAAGCACCACUGCCAGGAUUAUCUGCACCCCCAGCAAUGCCUCGCCUAGGACCGAAGCCAAAGCCUGCCCCAGUGACACCACAACGUUUGCUUAAGCCCUCAUCAGAUGAUCAGGACACGUAUGAUGAUGUUGAAUCUACAGCUCCACUGCAGCCUCCUCCUCCGCUGCCUCCCAAAAUCUCGUCAGAAGAUUCCCUGGCAGAACAAGGAGAUGAGGAGAGUGACGGCAGUGAUCUCUAUGAGGAGGUGGACAGCAUAGAGGUAGUACACAAGCGGCAUGACAAGAGCAGGCAGAUGGAGCUGAAGCGUCAGCAGGAGAUGGAAAGGAAAGAGCAGAAAGAUAAGGAAAAAAGGGAGAUGGAGCUCCGCAAGAAGUUCAAGCUCUCUGGUCCUAUAGAGGUGCUCUACACGGCCAAGAUGAGACUGGAUAACCGUGGGGGAAAGUAUGACCUGACCGUUAAGGCGGGUGACACAGUUGAGAUUGUGAGAGUGAAGAGCAAUCCAGAAGGGAAAUGGCUGGCACGCACCCUGGAUGGCACAUAUGGCUACAUAGAUAACAAGAGUGUGAACAUUGACUACGAGGAGGUGCGACGUAAUAUUCGGAGUCAGGCUCAGCAACUAGAGAACAGCCCUGGUUGGCAUAAAAAGGACGAGUUCUACGAUGAUGUGGGUUCAUCUGACCAGAUGAAUAGCAGCCGAAAUACAGACAACGAUGAAGUGUAUGAUGACGUGGACAUCAUUUCUGAAGAGUUUCCGCCACCCCCACCGGAGCUCAGUUUGGAGCCAAAAAAGAGCAAGAAGGAAGAGAAAGAAGAGAAGGAGUUCCGGAAGAAGUUUAAGUUUGAUGGGCCAAUUGAAGUACUCUGUCGUAUGAUGGUGGAUCCCAAUGCCAACAUUAAGAAAGCCUCUGGGAAGGACCUGUCUUUGUCCCGUGGAGAAAUCCUUAGUGUGAUCCUCUUUGUCAAUGAGAAGAAAGCCAUCUGCCGCAACGAGAAGGGAAAAUAUGGUUAUGUCCCCAGGUCUCUUCUUCUACAAGCGGAAGGAGACAUUUAUGAUGAUGUCGAGAGCAGUGAUGUCUACGACAACGACUGACAGCCUGAGCCCCCAUCCUAGGAGUGCUUCUUGCCAAAGAGUUUUGCUUUAUUUUUUAAACAUUUAGUGUCUUCUCCUCAUGACAGAUGAGAACACAUGAAACCUGAGAAGCUGCCCUGUACCUCCUUAUUAACCCUGCUGCUCUACCCUUCACAAAGCUUCAUUGUGCAUGUCUGCAUGUUGUUUCAACCAGGAUUAACCUGCUGCCAUAAUGUCAAAGUAUCUGGAGAGUCAUAAUGCAACAAGGAAAAUGUCCAUGCCAAGGAUGUACAGGGACUCUACAUUGGUCCGAUAUGAUUUUGAGUGGGUGGUCUACUGGCAUCCCAAAAAGGACUGCCUUGUGCUGAACGCUGCUGGGAAGAGGCUCCAGCUCCCCUCAUUCACUCCCACCUGUAUGUCUAUUGCCCCUCCCAUCAUGUACAAUGGCAAGAAAAAGUAUGUGCAGUCUUACAAGAUAACCACAUUUAUGUAUUCAUUUUUAAAAAUUUGUCUUAAAAUAUGGUCUGAUCGUCAUGUAAGUUACAAUAAUGAACACACAACAAUGUUUUAUCGAAUAAUGCACAGAUCAUUGUAUCAUUCUUGGCACUUGCUGAAUACAUCAUUCAGAUAUUCACAGGUGUAGGUUGGAAAAAGCAUGCGAACUCCUAGGCUGAUAAGUUCAAGAAAAUCUAACUGGAGUCAGGAGAUGAUAAACCUGGAGACAACCAGUUAAAUGAGACUGGAGGUGUGAUUUCAAGAUUCUUCACCCGAUAAAACAAAAGACUUGAAUAUUUUGAGUUUUCCAUUCAUAAAAAGAGUCUUAAUGUUUAGCAUGCCUCACAAAAAAGGAAAUCUCAAAAGGUCUAUGAUCAAGAAUUGUUGAUUUGCGUAAAGCUGGAAAAGGUUAUAAAAUAAUUUCAAAGAGUUUAGAUAUUCAUCAGUCCACAGUUAGACAAACUAUGUAGGAAUGGAGAUGAUCUGUACUAUGGCUACUCUCCCCAGAAUUGGGGGCCCAGCCAAGUUAACUCAAAAAGCACAAAGAGAAAUCACAGUGAGGUAAAACAGAACUCUAGGGUAACAACUAAAGUCUUGAAGGAAUCACUUGAAGAGGUUAACAUCUGUGUUCAUGAGUCUAAGAUAUGCAAAACAUUGAACAGACAUGGUGUCCCGUGGAGGCUGUUACUCUCCAAAUAACAUUGCAGCAUGCCUGAUGAUUACCAAAGAUCAGCUUGACACUCCACAAUAUCUUUGGGAAAAUUUUUGUGGACUGAAGAAACUAAGGUUGCAUUGUUCAGGAAGAAUAUUCAGCAGUAAAUAAGGAGAAAACAACAUGAAAACAUCAUCCCAAUGGUGUAGUACGGUGGAGGGGACAUCAUGAUUUGGGAAUGUUUUGCUGACUCCAGGACUGGUCAGCUUGCCACCAUCAAAAAUGAAUGUGUAAGUUUAUCAAGGUGUCCUACGAGAUGAUGCCAGGGCGACUGUUCUCCAGCUAAAGCUCAGUAAAAGUUGGGUGAUGGCAACAGGGCAAUAACCCCAAACAUCAAAGUAAAUUUACUACAGAAUGGCUUAAAAAAGAAUAAUCACCUUCUGGAAUGGCCCACUCAUAGCGCAAAUAUUCGCUCAAUGGAGAUGCUGUGGUAUGAUCUCAGGAGGGCAUCCUAAAAAUAUGGCUAACCUGAAACAGUUCUGUAAGGAAGAAUAGUCCAAAAUUCCUCCUGAACAUCGUGCAGAUCUGAUCCACAACUACCGGAAGUGUUUUGUAGAGGUUAUUCCUGCCAAAGAGCGGUUUUUAAAUUCAAGGGUACACUUAACUUUUGCUAGAGCACACUGUCCAUUUUUAUAUGUGUGUUUAAUAAAGACAUGAGAGAUUGUAAUUGUGUGUGAGUUAUUAGUGCGAGCAUAUUGCAUUUGUCUAUACUUGUGACUUAGAUGAAGUUUAAAUCACAUUUUAUGACCAGUUAAUGCAGAAUCACACACUUUUUCUUGUCACUAUAACUUCUACUGGCGGCACUGUGGUGCAGUGGGUAGCACUGUUACCUCACAGUUAGGAGA
This is an RNA transcript of Polypterus senegalus (gray bichir), 3991 nucleotides long. It is a transcript of the gene named FYN-binding protein 1, with no coding region annotated. The record is from RefSeq and is a predicted model, not a curated record. NCBI's taxonomy places the organism in Eukaryota, Metazoa, Chordata, Cladistia, Polypteriformes, Polypteridae. The transcript has 17 exons.